RNAcentral lists this ribosomal RNA (230 nucleotides) under Klebsiella pneumoniae. Its description in RNAcentral is "partial 23S ribosomal RNA". It matches the Rfam family "Bacterial large subunit ribosomal RNA", at positions 1 to 222 of the family's 2925-position model. Lineage: Bacteria; Pseudomonadati; Pseudomonadota; Gammaproteobacteria; Enterobacterales; Enterobacteriaceae. The record is from RNAcentral. RNAcentral also lists the same sequence under 2 other names.
GGGUUGUGAGGUUAAGCGACUAAGCGUACACGGUGGAUGCCCUGGCAGUCAGAGGCGAUGAAGGACGUGCUAAUCUGCGAAAAGCGUCGGUAAGGUGAUAUGAACCGUUAUAACCGGCGAUGUCCGAAUGGGGAAACCCAGUGUGAUUCGUCACACUAUCGUUAACUGAAUACAUAGGUUAACGAGGCGAACCGGGGGAACUGAAACAUCUAAGUACCCCGAGGAAAAGA